This 394-nucleotide ribosomal RNA is filed under the name uncultured bacterium. RNAcentral describes it as "bacterial SSU rRNA". It matches the Rfam family "Bacterial small subunit ribosomal RNA", at positions 29 to 419 of the family's 1533-position model. The record is from RNAcentral.
AUUGAACGCUGGCGGCAUGCCUAACACAUGCAAGUCGAACGGCAGCACAGCAGUAGCAAUACUGUGGGUGGCGAGUGGCGGACGGGUGAGGAAUACGUCGGAAUCUGCCCAGUCGUGGGGGAUAACUAGCCGAAAGGUUAGCUAAUACCGCAUACGACCGAGAGGUGAAAGCGGGGGACCGCAAGGCCUCGCGCGAUUGGAUGAGCCGACGUCGGAUUAGCUAGUUGGCGGGUAAAGGCCCACCAAGGCGACGAUCCGUAGCUGGUCUGAGAGGAUGAUCAGCCACACUGGAACUGAGACACGGUCCAGACUCCUACGGGAGGCAGCAGUGGGGAAUAUUGGACAAUGGGCGCAAGCCUGAUCCAGCAAUGCCGCGUGUGUGAAGAAGGCCUUC